GAUGAACGCUAGCGGCAGGCCUAAUACAUGCAAGUCGAACGGAUAUAUGUUUUUCGGAAUAUAUAUUAGUGGCGCACGGGUGAGUAACACGUACAUAACUUGCCCUCAAGCGGGGGAUAGCCUUGGGAAACUGAGAGUAAUACCCCAUAGAAUUAUUGGACGGCAUCGUUUGAUAAUUAAAACUACGGUGUUUGGGGAUAGAUGUGCGUCUGAUUAGCUAGUUGGUGAGGUAACUGCUCACCAAGGCGACGAUCAGUAGGGGGCGUGAGAGCGUGGCCCCCCACACGGGUACUGAGACACGGACCCGACUCCUACGGGAGGCAGCAGUAAGGAAUAUUGGUCAAUGGAGGGAACUCUGAACCAGCCAUGCCGCGUGAAGGAUGACGGCCCUCUGGGUUGUAAACUUCUUUUGUACGGGAAAAAACCUUCUUACGUGUAAGAAGCUGAUUGUACUGUAAGAAUAAGGAUCGGCUAACUCCGUG
This 482-nucleotide ribosomal RNA is filed under the name uncultured bacterium. Its description in RNAcentral is "bacterial SSU rRNA". It matches the Rfam family "Bacterial small subunit ribosomal RNA", at positions 28 to 507 of the family's 1533-position model. The record is from RNAcentral.